GCCAGGACCGAGUCAACUCGUGGCGAGUGGACUCGGCGCGGGAGGAGGCCGAUCGGGCGGCGGUGGAGACUCGCGAAUUGGAAUUGAGGUGGGACGACUGAGGCUGCGUCGCCGCUGCGCCGUUGUUGGAGGACGAAUCGACGGCGUUGGGCUCGUCCUUCCUCAUUCUGACGUGGACUAGGUCAGAAACGACGGCGUCGUCCUCGUCGUCCGAGAACGUCGAGAGGCCGCCAUACUCGUCCAGUUUCCGCUUCGACGACAGUCGCGCCGCCGCGGCCACCGCCACGCUCGCGCUGUUGUCGCUCCCGCUGCCGCGCUGGUGCGCCACCCAAUCGCCGACGGGGCUGUUGCCGGACAUUUACAGGUGGGCCUCACCCGCCAAAACGGUUCCGGUUCUUCUCCUCUCUCAAUUUCUCUCUCUCCCUCUCUCUCUCUCUCUCUGUGUUUGAAGAAAUCAAAGCCCCCACUCCGCCUUUAAGAAUCGAUCACGAAAUCAAGAAGGUGAGGUUGAAUUAGAGGGAGGCAAAGGCGGUGGUGAUCGGUGGUGGUGGUCGUCUCUGACGUCUGGGCUUCAGAGCCGUCAUCUACAAAGAGGAGGACUGUAAUCCCACGCUAACAAAUUUGGCUUCCUUUUAUAUUUUCCGGUUAAUUUAACCAUCCCGAAAGGUUUGUGCUUUCGAUGCCCUGCUCAAUUUACCAAACUAGCCCUCCUCUGACCG
Molecule: long non-coding RNA, 719 nt
Filed under: Rosa chinensis
Lineage: Eukaryota; Viridiplantae; Streptophyta; Magnoliopsida; Rosales; Rosaceae
Description: sRNA RchiOBHm_Chr5g0001421
Source: RNAcentral